Molecule: ribosomal RNA, 480 nt
Filed under: uncultured Coriobacteriaceae bacterium
Lineage: Bacteria; Bacillati; Actinomycetota; Coriobacteriia; Coriobacteriales; Coriobacteriaceae
Description: partial 16S ribosomal RNA
Source: RNAcentral
CACGUAGUUAGCCGGAGCUUCUUCUGCAGGUACCGUCGUUCUCUUCCCUGCUGAAAGCGGUUUACAACCCGAAGGCCUUCGUCCCGCACGCGGCGUUGCUGCGUCAGGCUUUCGCCCAUUGCGCAAAAUUCCCCACUGCUGCCUCCCGUAGGAGUCUGGGCCGUAUCUCAGUCCCAAUGUGGCCGGUCGACCUCUCAGUCCGGCUACCCAUCGCGGGCUAGGUGGGCCGUUACCCCGCCUACUACCUAAUGGGCCGCGACCCCAUCCCGCACCGUCGGGGCUUUCCCGCCCCCUCAUGCGGAGGGGCGGAGUAUCCGGUAUUAGCUGCCGUUUCCAGCAGUUAUCCCGGGGUGCGGGGCAGGUUGGUCACGUGUUACUCACCCGUUCGCCACUCUAUAUCCGCCCGGAGGCGGUUUAAUCGUUCGACUUGCAUGUGUUAAGCACGCCGCCAGCGUUCAUCCUGAGCCAGGAUCAAACUCU